GCACUGGAGGCAGCGGUUCAUCGAUCUGUUUAUGAGAUUUUGUUGUGAGUAAACACAGUUCAUGAAUCGGUCGAUAAACCUCUGCAUCCAGCGC
Malus domestica (apple) is the source of this 94-nucleotide non-coding RNA. RefSeq annotates it as microRNA MIR162b. Lineage: Eukaryota; Viridiplantae; Streptophyta; Magnoliopsida; Rosales; Rosaceae. The record is from RefSeq and is marked provisional.